UAAUGUCAUAGCUCUUUUAAAAUUUGUUUAGCAGGCUUUCUGGUUUUUGCCGGAAAGCCCUC
This is a small nuclear RNA of Homo sapiens (human), 62 nucleotides long. The record is from Ensembl. NCBI's taxonomy places the organism in Eukaryota, Metazoa, Chordata, Mammalia, Primates, Hominidae.